UUCUUUCCUAAAGUCUUGAUGGGCCUUCCCUU
This 32-nucleotide non-coding RNA is filed under the name Rattus norvegicus (Norway rat). Lineage: Eukaryota; Metazoa; Chordata; Mammalia; Rodentia; Muridae. The record is from RNAcentral.